Molecule: ribosomal RNA, 253 nt
Filed under: uncultured bacterium
Lineage: Bacteria
Description: partial 16S ribosomal RNA
Rfam family: Bacterial small subunit ribosomal RNA
Source: RNAcentral
UACGUAGGUGGCAAGCGUUGUCCGGAUUUAUUGGGUUUAAAGGGUGCGUAGGCGGCUUAUUAAGUCAGUGGUGAAAUAUGGCAGCUUAACUGUCAGGGUGCCAUUGAUACUGAUGAGCUUGAGUACAGAUGAGGUAGGCGGAAUUGACGGUGUAGCGGUGAAAUGCAUAGAUAUCGUCAAGAACACCUAUAGCGAAGGCAGCUUACUAAGCUGUAACUGACGCUGAGGCACGAAAGUGUGGGGAUCAAACAGG